UUAAAAAGCUCGUAGUUGAACCUUGGGCCUAGCCGGCCGGUCCGCCUCACCGCGUGCACUGGCUCGGCUGGGCCUUUCCUUCUGGAGAACCGCAUGCCCUUCACUGGGUGUGCUGGGGAACCAGGACUUUUACUCUGAACAAAUUAGAUCGCUUAAAGAAGGCCUAUGCUCGAAUACAUUAGCAUGGAAUAAUAGAAUAGGACGUGUGGUUCUAUUUUGUUGGUUUCUAGGACCGCCGUAAUGAUUAGUAGGGACAGUCGGGGG
RNAcentral lists this ribosomal RNA (264 nucleotides) under uncultured Ascomycota. RNAcentral describes it as "partial 18S ribosomal RNA". It matches the Rfam family "Eukaryotic small subunit ribosomal RNA", at positions 619 to 888 of the family's 1831-position model. The record is from RNAcentral. Lineage: Eukaryota; Fungi; Ascomycota.